GAGGCUUUGCACCGCUUUCCUGUUCCUCUGCCCUGGCAUAGGCAUGCAGUAUUGAGCCCCACUGCAAGUGUUCUUUGAAAGAAGGAGAACAAACUGGAAGGUGUUAUAGCAACAGAGUUAGUGGGUGUUGCUAUAAAUAAUAGAACAUUUGUUUUUAGAGUUUUUUUUUAAUUUUUUUUAGCAGUCGGGUAAUGGGCAAUGUGUUCUUACUUCAAGCUUUAGGGAGCAGGGCGGGAGGGGGGCUAGAAAAGGUGAGUGGAACAUGGAAGGAUCUUGCUCAAAACAUAGAGGAGAGAGCAGAGUAUUUAAAGAUAACAGCAGUGAUCCAAAAGCAAACAGCCUUGACCAAGUGUGCAGAGCCACUGUACUGCAGGGAGGGCAUCUGAGAGUCUGAGUCGCUCAGGACUGAAGAGCCUUGGUCUGCACGGGAGAUCCCUCGGCCUCCAUACUGGCCUGUCCCUCCUGGCUGCGUCACUUCCAUUUACCUGGUGUGCACAUCAAAAGGCAAGCAGCUCUUGCCACAGCACCUGCUGCGGACAGAGUCUUCCCUCAUACAUGUUUUGCCUACAAAACACUUAUGUCAGGGGAUAGAAAACGUGUUAUUCAGGACCCCAAAGUUGCAAAACAUCCAGGGAGGUUUUAUGUAUUAUAAAACAACCGAUCUAGGCCGUUCACCCCAUAUCUCAUUAAGAUGGGAUUCGAUGAGGAUUUGGAGGAAUAAAAUCUCUGUCCCCGUGUCCUCCUGUUCCCAGGUGUUGUCGGCCAUUGAUGGAGAUGAUGCAUAGAUCUCCAGAAAGGAAUGGAGGACACAGUCCACCAUGGUCAUUCCCCAAGGGAUGGGAGAGACAGAUCUCUGAGUGAGAUGUAUUCUCCUGUGCCCUAGAGGGAGAGUGCUCAGAAUUUUAAGUAAAAACCAUUCUUACUCUUCAGUCUGGUGAAGCGAAGACGAUAAUUUGUAUUGAUGUAUUUCAGACUGUGUACAAAGCAUGCUCUGGUGCUUUGGCUUUUGGUUUCUUUUUUAAUUUUGAAAACCUUGGCUGUAAGAGAAUUAAUUACUGGAAGAGAACACAACAGGACAUAACUUUGGAGGGAUUCUGACAAGGUCUUAAUGGCUGCCGUGUGCUAUUUAAUUUUCACCUGUGGGGUUUGUUUGUUUUGUUUUGUCUUUUAUUUCUCGUAUGUGCAUCAGGGAAGAAAAAUGUGUCCUGUUAACUAGAGGGCACGACCAGCCACACAGGUGUGGGAGAGAAGCGCUUCUGGGACCUCCAAUCCUGCCCAAGUCUCGCUUUCCUAUUCCCACGUUUCCUACAGAGUCUCUUGGGGCUGAGGGCAAAGGCCUCAGAAACACCAUGUGACCAGCCCUCCUGUCUCUGCCCCUUCCUGCCGUACC
RNAcentral lists this long non-coding RNA (1390 nucleotides) under Mus musculus (house mouse). RNAcentral describes it as "long non-coding RNA chr1:89138523-89139913". The record is from RNAcentral. Lineage: Eukaryota; Metazoa; Chordata; Mammalia; Rodentia; Muridae.